AACAGACUUAGAAGAAAUGAGGAAGACACAGAGCAGUCCUCAUCCUACAAUAGGUCUCCUGUUAUUUUGCCCACAUUGGGGUUUUAUUGAUCAGUGACCACAUUUCUUCUCAGGACUGUGGUACUGCCAGGAAACUUCCUGGUCCAGCUGCAGAGUGGUUAGUUGGCAUUUAAAACAAAACAGAACAAAACAGCCCCACUGUGCUGUUUAGAAAAGUUCAUGCCAUAUCGUGAAUUUAGCUCCACGGAUCAGAAGGCCUUCCCACAUAAGGGAAGCAAACAUGAAGCCCGCCUUGGGUGUGUCCACUGGUCACUUGUCUGCCUGAGAAAGAUUUAUACCAAAGAGUUUCAGAGUCAUAAGUUUAGCAGAUACAGGCACAGAAGGGUAUUUAGAAGUCAAAUGAGCCAUUCUUCUACCUAAGAGCUUUGCUUGAGAAUAAAGUCUCUGCUCCAUGCAGCUAUCGUCACUCCAAUUGGCCCCAGAGGAGGCGUCUUCUCGGAGGAAGAGAGGAAUCUAUCAACAGGAUCAAGAUGGGAGAAAAUUGAGUGCUUUUCAGGCCCCACAGCUAGAACAGUCCAAAGAGACAACAGCAAAAGCCAAGUCCAGUACACUUGUCCAACCUAGCUCUUCAAGGUCUCUGCUGGACUCAGGGUCUAGAUUUUUCCUGUGCCAAAGGACAGCUCCAACACCAGCUCUGGGUCACUUUUCCAGUUCCAAUUCCCCCAGAGAGCUUGUGAUGGCCGCCCUCUGACAUAUUCCAGAGGUAUACUUCAGAGGAGGGCCAUGUUCUUUUUGCUGCUAAUUAAUACAACAUUCGGAGUUCACCUUUGGCUGGGGCUUGAAUUCAACAGCAUGUAGGCAGCUAUGCAUGUAAGGCACAGCAUCAGUGUCUGGGUCGAGCGCAGAAACACAGUUUACCUUUAUCCAUAACCAGACUCCCUGAGCAGGGGUGUGCCUAAGGGUACACAUUCGCCUGAGCUUCUCCUUACAGUCCGCCUGCCCACAUACAUCCUCGCUCCAUUUGUGCUGCCAUUUUCCUCAGUCAAUUAUUUAAAAGAAAAGAACUUAAGGAUAUUUUCAUGGGAAAAACAAAUCCUUAGGCUGUUGAGAGCCACAGCCAAAGGGGCCCCAGCAAACUUCCAGCUGCCAGCAAACUUCCAGCUGCUGGCUGAUGAUUGGCUCACAGCGGCCCCAGCAACAUCUAGCUGAUUGGCUCCUCUGCGGUGAUGCUCACUGGGCUGUUUCCCUGCCCUUUCAGACCACGGAGCUGCUCAUUGGGGGACUUUUUUGGCUCCGCCCACGUGACCCAGCCAACCGGCCUCAAGAGCAGGAGGAUUGUGGGGGAGAGAGAGAAGCUUGUGUGGGAGAGAGAGGCUUGGGGAAAGCCGGUGGUGGCAGUUGAGGCUCUGAGGGUUUUUCCUGAGAGACUAUUUUGUUUGUCGUGUGUGGUUCUAAAAAUAAAGUUAGUUUCUUUUGACAAGUGGCUCCUGAUUGUGCCCAGCCAGACUGCGGCAUUAGGCAAGCCUAAGUAACCGGCAACUAUCAAAAUGAAACUCAAGUCUGGAACUCUUGGUACCCUAACUAUAGAUCACAUAGGAGCAGAUAAAAAUCUUUGAAGAAAUUACUCACAAAAGUUACAGAACACUUAAAGCCCAUACAUCAAAAAGGCCCUCUUAGGAGUUAUCCACACAGCAAGUUAGGCCGGUGGGUUAUAUAAGGACACUAUGGCUAUUAGAACCGCCUGCCAAGCCCCAGGUAUGAUACCCAGCACUAUGAAUCAAAACCCUGCAUUUUAGAUUCUUAGGGUAGUAUCAGAUCCCAAACAGACAUGCAUGAAGGGAGAAGGUAUACAUUUGAUGUCAAUUUGAUAUUGUAAUUACAAAUAAGACUCAUCAAAUAAAUGGUGGAGGAGCUCAGAAAGACCAACCCUAUUCAUGUUAAGAACCAUUUGGAACACCAUGUACAACCAGAGAAUUGAAAUGUUGAGCUUCAUUUGUGUAUGAUGAGUUGAAAUGCAUUCUGCUGUCAUGUACAAGUAAGUAGAAUGAAUAAUGAUAAUAAUAAUAAUAAUAAUAAUAAUAAUAAUAAUGCAACUCAGGAUCAGCCAGCUAGAAGAGAUGCAUAGGGCAAGGUUCUGUGAGAAGCGACACAGAGCUUCUUCUAUGGCCUCCUCAGGUGAGAGAAAAAAAAAAAAAGAACCAUUUGGAAUUCAUAAUAAGAGUACCUACGAAAAGAUCAUGAGAGGAUUGGGGUUCCGCCUAGAACACAGAGAUUGUGCUUCAAACAUGUGGAUCAAUCAUUUUGUUUUCCUUCGUUGCCAUUUCUUCUGCGUGGAUAAGUGAAAGUGGAUGAUCUAGAGAACCUUGCCAAGAUUCCCCAGGGAGUCAUUUUAGACCCUGGGCUCGCUGCCCUUCUUCAGUGCUCCACGUGUCUCCAUGUUGUUUCAGCUCUGUUAUUUUCAGCAUCAGCCUUUUCAAGGCAUCAGCAUCAAUUAACUCACUCUGAAAUUCAAAGGUCAUUGAAGAGAUGGGAUUGGAUUUGUUCUGUGAUAACAGACUUUUUUUUUUAACUUUGCGAACUGUCCCUACAUAGUAUAACUACAGAGAACUGUCCCAGGCAUUAUUUUAAAAAUUUAGGAUAUUCUACCAAGAGAUUCUUGAGAAUAGAAUUCUGCUAUUUAAUUCAUUCUAAUCACCAAACGUUUUUGCAACUCUACCUCCAUGCCUGACUCCUUCUCUGUAUUUCCAUUAGAAAUAGGGUCCAACGCGUCCUUGUUUGUGGCCAUUUUCACUCUCCAGGAGAACUCCCCUCUGGAAAACUCCGUCUUCAC
This 2830-nucleotide long non-coding RNA is filed under the name Marmota monax (woodchuck). The record is from RNAcentral. Lineage: Eukaryota; Metazoa; Chordata; Mammalia; Rodentia; Sciuridae.